AAACUCCUUUGAAUUAAAGCUUUUGGUAAUAAUCUGGAUAAAAACACAACUCAUGAAAGACAAGGGCAUUAGUGAAUAACAAUAAGCUUUAAGAUAUUUUCUCCCCCUUUUUGAUCAUAAUUAAAAAGUUGUGUUUCAUGUUCUCCCCCUAAGAUAAUACUCCCCCUUAAUAAAAGCAUGUAUGCAUAUGAGCCAAAUAUAU
RNAcentral lists this long non-coding RNA (202 nucleotides) under Vigna radiata. RNAcentral's name for it is "long non-coding RNA (VRAD_LNC011956)". Lineage: Eukaryota; Viridiplantae; Streptophyta; Magnoliopsida; Fabales; Fabaceae. The record is from RNAcentral.